AGUCAUUUCAUAUCAGAUUGUAAGUUGUAGCAGUGGUGGGAAAAAAAAGAAAGGUGUGGUGACUGGCUCUGCUUUUGAUACUUUUAAAAGUGAAAAUGAUCCUGAUUUGUGGACUUAGGCAGGCUAGAAGCAUGCCUCCAAAGACCAAGUGAAAUGGGUACAAAGCAAGAGGAUGUGUAUAUCAUAAUUCAUGUGUGAAGUUGACAGAAGUAUACUCGUAGCCAAUAGAGCACUAAAUCUGAUUAGACUCUCCUCUGCACGCGUGCCUCAUAAGUCCAUACAUUGCUCUCACAGGUCCACGCUCGUUCCCAUAGUUUUUUUAGUCUUACUCUUGGUGGGUCUUCCAUUUUGUUUUCUACUCUUUUAUUCAAUCUCUC
This 377-nucleotide long non-coding RNA is filed under the name Vitis vinifera (wine grape). RNAcentral's name for it is "long non-coding RNA (VVIN_LNC003066)". The record is from RNAcentral. Lineage: Eukaryota; Viridiplantae; Streptophyta; Magnoliopsida; Vitales; Vitaceae.